GACGAACCGUGCGAACGUUGUUCGGAAUCACUGGGCUUAAAGGGCGCGUAGGCGGCAGUUCAAGUCCGGGGUGAAAUCCUCCAGCUCAACUGGAGAAGUGCCUUGGAUACUGGAUUGCUCGAGGGAGGUAGGGGCCCGCGGAACUUCUGGUGGAGCGGUGAAAUGCGUUGAUAUCAGAAGGAACGCCGGUGGCGAAAGCGGCGGGCUGGAUCUCUACUGACGCUGAGGCGCGAAAGCUAGGGGAGCAAACGGG
Molecule: ribosomal RNA, 253 nt
Filed under: uncultured bacterium
Lineage: Bacteria
Description: partial 16S ribosomal RNA
Rfam family: Bacterial small subunit ribosomal RNA
Source: RNAcentral